RNAcentral lists this non-coding RNA (225 nucleotides) under Aneurinibacillus sp. RNAcentral's name for it is "T-box sequence". It matches the Rfam family "T-box leader". Rfam says of the family: Uncharged tRNA acts as the effector for transcription antitermination of genes in the T-box leader family. T-boxes are found upstream of many aminoacyl-tRNA synthetase genes and some amino acid biosynthetic genes usually in Gram-positive bacteria. The anticodon of a specific tRNA base pairs to a specifier sequence within the T-box motif, and the NCCA acceptor tail of the tRNA base pairs to a conserved bulge in the T-box antiterminator hairpin. Lineage: Bacteria; Bacillati; Bacillota; Bacilli; Caryophanales; Paenibacillaceae. The record is from RNAcentral.
GCUAAAUCGUUGAAGGAAUGAGUAGACGGCAGCCCUUGUCACAGAGAGAAGAUUCCAUGGUUGAGAGAAUCUUUACAAGAAGAGCCGUUGAAUGCUACUCCUGAGAGCAGGGCGCAAAAUCCUGCCGGGUUAAAAAGCCCGUUAUCUGUAAAAUAAGGCGAUCCGUGCUAUAUGUGCGGGUAAGCAGGGUGGUACCGCGUGAGAAGAUAAGCUCUCGUCCCUGAA